This 1194-nucleotide long non-coding RNA is filed under the name Crocodylus porosus (Australian saltwater crocodile). RNAcentral describes it as "lncRNA (ENSCPRG00005007905.1)". Lineage: Eukaryota; Metazoa; Chordata; Crocodylia; Crocodylidae. The record is from RNAcentral.
CGGCGCCCACGUGGGACGGAUCCAUUACACGCGUGGGGGCGGGGACGCCAGCUUUACCCCAACCCCCUUUCGCAGGGCGGCGGACCGACGCUUCCGCUCCAACCAAUCAGCGCCAAAGAUAGGCAGCCUCCCUCCUCCCCUUUCCAGACAGAGCCUUGCCACAUUCCGCCGGGAAGCGCAAGUCGAGAGGCGGCCGGGCCUUGUGAUAGGGCAGGCCGCGCUGGGAUUCCACCCAAUAGUGGGGGGGGGCGGGGCGAACCCCUUGGGCAAGUAGGAGCGGGGCGAAUCCCGCCCAAGCCCGCCGGGGGGGGUGGGGUGCCCGUGUCGCGUAUCCGCGGCUGCGGCGGGAGCCCGCGCUGGGCUCGGGGGCUGCGGCCUCUGCACGCGGGGGGCGGGAUCCGCCGCUUGCCCCGACCCGUCCUCGCUCCCGCUGCGCCCGCGCCCUGCACAGCAGAGCCCGCCCCGCCCGCGCCAGCCACCCGGCUGGGAAGGCGCCCGCCACGGCGACUAACUCGGUGCGGGCUCGGAUCGCGCGGGCAGGCGCCCCACGCAGCCCGACCCCAGCCUCCGCCUCCCUGCGAGCGCGGGCAGGGGCGCGGGAUUGUGGGAGAAGGAGGGGAGCUCCGCUCGGGGGCGGGCAUCUCCCUCCCACCAGCGCGGAGGAGGCGGGGUGGGAGAGGCAGCUCCAUGUUUGCGAGCGGAUCAGCUGGGAGAGCGCAGCGCGGCUGUUGCCCGGCCCGGGGAGGGGACGCCAGCAGCUUGGGCGCGCGGCGGUCGGGCCCGGGGAUCCCCCCCGCCCCUGGUCCGGGGGCAGCUGCAGCCCGCGCCUCUCCGCCCGGCCGCACACCCACUCGCGCCCAACAAGUUUCCCGGGGGCCCCCGCGCGGCCCGGGCUCCGCUGCCGCGCAGCGUGUGCAGCCGCGCUCAGACCCCCGCCCCCGGCAGCGCCCGCCAAGCCCCGCGCAUAAACCAGCCAACCAAGCGCCUGGAGCCGCGGCCCCGGAGCGCGACGCCGCUUUGUUUAUUCCGAGCCAGGAAGCAAGGGGGAGCGCCCCGCGCACGCAGCGCCCGUCGGCCCCGGCCCCUCGGGACAGCCCCCGCGUCCGGGCGCCCCCGGGCCCACGCGCGGGAGGAAAAAGCAAAGCCCUUUUCCUGCUUUUAAUCUUCCCCCCUCGCCUCCCCUCCCGUCCUUAG